AGCGAACGCUGGCGGCAGGCCUAACACAUGCAAGUCGAACGAACCUUUCGGGGUUAGUGGCGGACGUGUGAGUAACACGUGGGAACGUGCCUUUAGGUUCGGAAUAACUCAGGGAAACUUGUGCUAAUACCGAAUGUGCCCUUCGGGGGAAAGAUUUAUCGCCUUUAGAGCGGCCCGCGUCUGAUUAGCUAGUUGGUUGAGGUAAUGGCUCACCAAGGCGACGAUCAGUAGCUGGUCUGAGAGGAUGAUCAGCCACAUUGGGACUGAGACACGGCCCAAACUCCUACGGGAGGCAGCAGUGGGGAAUCUUGCGCAAUGGGCGAAAGCCUGACGCAGCCAUGCCGCGUGAAUGAUGAAGGUCUUAGGAUUGUAAAAUUCUUUCACCGGGGACGAUAAUGACGGUACCCGGAGAAGAAGCCCCGGCUAACUUCGUG
This 434-nucleotide ribosomal RNA is filed under the name uncultured bacterium. RNAcentral describes it as "partial 16S ribosomal RNA". It matches the Rfam family "Bacterial small subunit ribosomal RNA", at positions 29 to 507 of the family's 1533-position model. The record is from RNAcentral.